Molecule: non-coding RNA, 27 nt
Filed under: Mus musculus (house mouse)
Lineage: Eukaryota; Metazoa; Chordata; Mammalia; Rodentia; Muridae
Source: RNAcentral
UGCAAUGGGUGACAUUGAGAAUGCUGG